CACAAGUUCUCAUAUGUAUAAAGUAUCUAAAAUAGCAACAUGUUCGCCGCGAUUGUGGUGUAGUGGGUGUUGUGAAUGUGGUGUCACAUGACAAAACGAGAGGAAAAUCCAUGAAUAUAUUGUCAACGUUCGGAAAAAAUCGAAGUAAUCAUUUCAAUUUCCAUCACGAUAUACGGGUUUUUUGCGCCCUUAGGCUAAGAUUAUUAACACGUAUUUGCAAGCUCUCCAUACUAUAGUCUAACAAUGUCUAUGUCACGAUCCUAGUUCAACAAUUGGAAACCUGUCAUGACGGCUCUCAGUCUUCACGACCAGGUAAACAAAACACACUGCGGAAUUUAAUAGUUCGAAAUAAAAACAAUAACCAAAUACUAAGUAGAAUAAGAAAAUCAUAGCGAUGCCGCUUGGCACAUACACUGAAUACAAAACUUUUGAAAAAUAACAUCCCAAAAUCUGGAAUCCCACGCGCAACACAGGUUGUCAGAACAUAAGUACAGCUCUAAUAUAUGGUGUGUCUAAUACAAUGGGGAAAAACUGGAAACAGUACUACUAACUACAGGAUAGAAUGGACGAAGACUCUCCGGUCUGCGGACGCAGCAGAUAUACCUCAAGUCUCCGAUAGCAAGCUCCAAUCUCACUGAUGAUACGCCUGUCCGGAUGCACCUGAAUCUGCAUAACAAAAGUGUGUAAAAGAGUAGCAUGAGUACACCACGACAGUACUUAGUAAGUGCCAAGCCUAACCUCGGUUGGGUAGUGACGAGGAAGGUCGAGGCCCUACUGAGAUAAAUAUAAAAAUAAAUAAAAUGAAUAGACAGCAAGAGUACAGUAAAUUUGGAGUAUUUAGCAAAAAUAAUAAGUAGCACGAAAGCAUACUACAAAUACAAUUUACAAAUACAAGAACAAUCACGACAGGCUAUUUAUCAUCGGGGAUCUCAUGGUAUCCCGAAGAUCUCCUGGUAUCCUCAUCAUAUGCACAAGGGAUCUACAAGUAUCCCGAGGAUCUCCUAGUAUCCUCCACUUAUUCACGAGGGAUCUCCAAGUAUCCCGAGGAUCUCCUAGUAUCAUCCUUUUAAUCAUGAGGUCUCCAAGUAUCCCAGGGAUCUCCUAGUAUCCUCCAAUUUAAUCAAUCCUGUGCCGGUGAUCUCUUAGUAUCCUACACUUCCAAUCUCGGAGCAUAAUACGUACAGGGAACUUCGGGGAUGCCGUCCCGUAGACCCAUUUGUAAACACAUCACAACAAUUCAAUAUUUAAUAGAAAGAAGCUAAGUACAAACAGCAGGUAAAAAUCUAGAGUCUAGCAUCUAUGUGAUCGCAUAGGAAGUGCCACGAUCGCAUAGAACAAACUUAAGGAGUCUCCAAAUCCUUCUAUGCGAUCGCACUACCUCUCCGCGAUUGCGAUUCACAAAGCCAGCUUCAUUAUUUUCCUUCUAUGCGAUCGCGUGUUCCUCUCUACGAUCGCAGAGAUCAAAUACUCGACCCUAUGUGAUCGCAACACUACUUCCAUGAUCGCAGUACAUGCCAUAUCUUACCCUAUGCGAUCGCAACCCCUAUUCCACGAUCGCAUAGAGAAAUUCGCGCAUUCAUUUAAAUGCCCAAAACAUAACCAUUUCGGGAAUUUUUCAUUAAACGUUCGAACCCUUCUUCUCCAAAGCUUUUACGCAACAUUUAGAGCAUUUCUUCACCCUUCUUGGGUAAGUAUUGUUUAAUUCGUUUUUUUUCAUGUUCCAUCAUCAUUUAUUGAAAUCCUAUGCCUAAAAAAUGUAAUUAGUGUAGAAAUUGGGAGAAUUGGGUAAAGCUAGGACUUUUCGAUUUUUAUUGAGUUAGACCUCGUUUUGGGGUCGAAUUCUAAAACAAAUCAGAUAUUCGGCCUCGUUGUUGAAUGGGUGAUACGAAUUUUGUCCGAACCUCGUGUUUUGACCAAGCGAACCCGAGGUUUUUUUUGGAAUUUUGGGAAGAAAGUAUGAAAUAUUUAGGCAUUGGAUUUGAUUUGUUUAGCAUAUAUUAAUGUUAUAAAGUCAUUAUUGUAUAGGUUUGACUAAGUUGGAGACGAGUUCGAGAGGGAAAGCGACUGUUGUGGAUUGCUUUGGCCGUGGAAGUUUAAGUAAGUGUUCGGUCUAACCUUAGCUUGAAGGAUUAGGAGUCGAGUCAUACUUGCUACCUGUUUUGUGUUGUAUACAACGCAUAGGCAUGGUGACGAGUAUCUAUACGUUGGCGUAGAGCAUGACCGUGAGUCCUAAAUAGCUAAAUUGUGUUUAUUCCUUAAUUGAUUCUAUGAGAACUUGGUUGAAGACCUUUGAUGCUGAACAAAUAUUUAGUCUAUGAGAACUUGGUUGAAGACCUUUGAUGCUGAACAAAUAUUUAGUUAUGACUGAGUAUUGGUGUUAAUUGUGUUAAGUAGAAAUUGAAUAAAGUUGGCUAUAGGUGGAUCUCCAUUGCCGGGAUAGUUAAUUUGAUAUUCUUGUUCCCUUGCCGGGAAUUCAUUUUAUUAUCUUGUUUCCUUGCCGGGUUUCUCUUUGUAAUACUGUAUUGGAUCUACACCUACCACAAGAGUUAUGAAAUGGGAGCGAGUGAUACGUCUACCACACAUGAUAUAUUAAAAUGGGAGUGAGUGGUAUGCCUACCACAAAUGAUAUUUACAUGGGAGCAAGUGGUACGCCUACCACAUAUGACAUUGAAAUGGGAACGAGUUGUAUGCCUACCACAAGAUAUUGAUUGAAAUGGGAAAGGGUUCAUGAUGAAAUGGAAUCGCUUGCACGCCUGCAACAAGAUGAGUUGAACGUGAAAGUUGUCUUAUUCCCUUUUUCUGCGUUAGAAACUAAAUUAUAAAUGUUUACUCUUUAAUCGCUGAUAUUUUAUUUUUAUUUGUACCCAGAGCAUAUUUUCCCUCCCUAGUUUUACUUGUUAAAAUCCUGUUAUUUCUUUGCCGUAUUAUAUAACUAGUUGCACAUGUUUAUCAGGAGUCUGGUCUUAACCUCGUCACUACGUUGCUGGGGUUAGGCCAGACACUUACCAGCACAUGAGAUCGAUUGUACUGAUGCUACACUCUGUGCUCUUCUGCACAGAUCCCGGUGUUGGAGUAGCAUUUGAGCAGCAGCAGUAGUUUGAGAGCGAGCUUUCAGUUCAGAGACACCGAGGUAACCUUAAUGACGUCCGCAAGCCCGAAAUCUCCUCUAUCUUUUAUUUUCGCUUGUUAUUAUGUACUUAGAGACAAAUAAUUUACAUUUCUUUUCAAACAGUUGUAUUUAGUGUGUGAGUAAUGUGACAUCAGUACUUGGGUAGAGAUAAACAAUUUACAUGUAUGCAAACAAUUUACAUGUAUGCAGCGGUGACUCCAUGCUCGGUUUUGGCGAGUCUUCCAUUAGGACUCAUAUUACUCCAAGUGCAUAGGCAAACAAAGAUAAAGAACACUCAUAUUACCAAAGAAGACAUGGAUUAGAGAAAUAUUAUUUUGGAGAAAACCUGAAAUAGACUACGAAAACAAAGGCUGAUAAGUCAAUCUUCUGGCUUAAACCCGAAUUUUACGAUUUCGCUAAAGCGCAAAUAAUAUCUUCCCUCAGUGAAUUAAACAUAUUUGUAGUUUCCUCAAAGAGAUGUGAAAAUAGUCUUUUCCACGUUCAUUUGAGAUCUAGAAGUACUAACAAAGCUAUUUUCUACCAUAUGAGAGUAUAGUUUUUAGUCCAAUAACACAUUGUUAAGCAUUAACUAGUUCUACUUAAGUUUAUAAUAAUUCUAUGUUAUUACUCAGCCAAAGAUCUUUCCUAGUUAAGUGAACAAAGGCGCAUAACUAUUUAGCAAAACGCUUUAGAUAUUCAUAGUUUGAAUGGCCUAAGCAAUUUCUCAAGUUUUUCUUUUUUAAUGCCAAACUUCAUUCAUAUCAGCAAAUCGAAUCGAAAUAAUAUCUAAACAAGUAGGACCCUAAAACAUAGCGUCUCGUCUCCACUUUUAAACAGAAUUCCAACAUCUUAAUAUUUGGCCAAGUUAAGUUAUAAGUAUGUUGUUUUGAACAGGAUCAAAUUCAAAGAACACAACAAACACAUACUCCGCUAAAUUAUUUGCUCAUUAUAAAUAUCCUAAAGGCAUGGGUUUUACUUGGGUUGUGAUAAGAUAGCAUUCUUCCCAUAAAAUAAAUUACUAAUCUAAAAAUAUUGUAUAAAAUAACAAAUCCUUAGUUAUCUAUAAUAAAUAAGCGAGAAAAAUCCUAACACAUGGAUUCUAAUAUGUGAACAACUAUUUUUAAAAACUUCUUUACAACUAGAUAAUACAGAAAACUAACACAUGAUUGCUAAUAAGGGAAAUACGAUAAUAUAUUUCAAGCAAUUCAGUCAAACACAUUACAUUCUAGUGUAAAAUUAUUUGCAACCAGAAUACACGAUCCGAGUAUAUCCUAAAUCAUUUUCUAAAAAAAAAAAAAAAAUAGCGAUUCUCAUACUAGUAAAUAAACACGCAAGUUGAAAUUAGAUUAAAAGAAAAUGGGAGAAAGAAUUAAGAGAGUCACUGACCAUUUUUGCGGGCACUGAACUAGUGCGCUGGUCUAGGGUCUCCGAUCUCCAGCCUCCGAUCAGUGACUCGAACAAACGAUAAGCACAAGAGCAAGAGUUAUGGCUUAGGAGCAGCAGAUGCCGAAGAGAAAAUGACUGAAAUUUAGCAUUUAGAAAGAGUAUUCAGAAUAUUAGAGUGGUCUUUAAAAAUAGAGAUGCGGCGGCAAUCCCCGGUGCCCCAAAAUUCUAGUAUUUACAGGGCAAAAUUGGGGCAUUCUUAAGGGGGUUUGGGCGGGACUUUUCUAAGUCCUAAUUUGAAUCAAACUUUCCGUUUAAAAUUCGAACGUUAGAGACAUUCACGUGGCUUGGUCAAAGAGAGAUGUUAAAAGAAUAGAUUUGCACCAAAAUGGUGCAGCUAAAUUUGUACGGUAAUGGAGAAGAUUUUGGCAUUUGGUCAAAUUGAAGAAGAAGAACAUUGUUUGUAUCU
RNAcentral lists this long non-coding RNA (4961 nucleotides) under Nicotiana benthamiana. Its description in RNAcentral is "long non-coding RNA (NBEN_LNC018617)". Lineage: Eukaryota; Viridiplantae; Streptophyta; Magnoliopsida; Solanales; Solanaceae. The record is from RNAcentral.